ACGCACCAUAUUGCACUUUAGUGACGCACAUAAAUAAACACCCAAGUGGCGCAUUAUCUAAAAGUGCCCAUUAGUAACCCAGAGCAUAAGGUACACAUGGACCCUUGGAGUAACAGUAGUGGCGCACUUUAGCUGCGUCAUUAGUGUCUGGGAUAGUAAUGGCGCACCAGAUGGUGCGCCACUGUUAUGUAGAUUAACAGUGUCGCA
Molecule: long non-coding RNA, 207 nt
Filed under: Hordeum vulgare
Lineage: Eukaryota; Viridiplantae; Streptophyta; Magnoliopsida; Poales; Poaceae
Description: long non-coding RNA (HVUL_LNC017447)
Source: RNAcentral